RNAcentral lists this transfer RNA (69 nucleotides) under Trichomanes speciosum. RNAcentral's name for it is "Vandenboschia speciosa tRNA-Gly". It matches the Rfam family "tRNA". Rfam says of the family: Transfer RNA (tRNA) molecules are approximately 80 nucleotides in length. Their secondary structure includes four short double-helical elements and three loops (D, anti-codon, and T loops). Further hydrogen bonds mediate the characteristic L-shaped molecular structure. tRNAs have two regions of fundamental functional importance: the anti-codon, which is responsible for specific mRNA codon recognition, and the 3' end, to which the tRNAs corresponding amino acid is attached (by aminoacyl-tRNA synthetases). tRNAs cope with the degeneracy of the genetic code in two manners: having more than one tRNA (with a specific anti-codon) for a particular amino acid; and 'wobble' base-pairing, i.e. permitting non-standard base-pairing at the 3rd anti-codon position. The record is from RNAcentral. Lineage: Eukaryota; Viridiplantae; Streptophyta; Polypodiopsida; Hymenophyllales; Hymenophyllaceae.
GCGGGUAUGGUUUAGUGGUAAACUUAGCCUUCCAAGCUACUGAUGCGGGUUCGAUUCCCGCUACCCGCU